This 280-nucleotide long non-coding RNA is filed under the name Prunus persica (peach). Its description in RNAcentral is "long non-coding RNA (PPER_LNC000344)". Lineage: Eukaryota; Viridiplantae; Streptophyta; Magnoliopsida; Rosales; Rosaceae. The record is from RNAcentral.
GGAGGGCGAAUUUUAGUCAAUGAGAGAUUUUCUACAAAUGUCCCAGGUGUUUAUGCAAUCGGGGACGUUAUUCCUGGACCUAUGUUAGCCCACAAGGCAGAAGAGGAUGGGGUUGCAUGCGUGGAGUACCUUGCUGGUAAGGUUGGGCAUGUGGACUAUGACUUGGUCCCUGGGGUUGUCUAUACGCACCCUGAAGUUGCAUCUGUUGGAAAGACCGAGGAACAAGUGAAGUCCCUUGGUGUUGAAUACCGAGUUGGAAAGUUCCCUUUCAUGGCAAAUA